Clostridiales bacterium GWD2_32_59 is the source of this 80-nucleotide non-coding RNA. The record is from Rfam. NCBI's taxonomy places the organism in Bacteria, Bacillati, Bacillota, Clostridia, Eubacteriales.
CAAGAGUAAUGAAGCGAGAGGUUGCCACCGAAGGUGGGUUUUCACGCAGAACGAUGUCCAGUUCACGAAACGGACGACAA